AACGGGUCCGUUUGUGUAUGGGGGUAUGUAUGUUGCUUGUUGCUCCUGUUGGAUUGUGAGAAGAGAACAACGAAAAUGAUAUCUUGGAGAGAGAGAUCCGCGCGCCCGCGCGGCACAACUCGGUCAUCCAUGUGCUCGCGGCGGCGGCUCCGUCAAGUGCCAUCUCUUUUUCUUUAUCUCUCGAUG
Caenorhabditis elegans is the source of this 186-nucleotide non-coding RNA. Lineage: Eukaryota; Metazoa; Nematoda; Chromadorea; Rhabditida; Rhabditidae. The record is from Ensembl.